This 447-nucleotide long non-coding RNA is filed under the name Lupinus angustifolius (narrow-leaved blue lupine). Its description in RNAcentral is "long non-coding RNA (LANG_LNC003560)". The record is from RNAcentral. Lineage: Eukaryota; Viridiplantae; Streptophyta; Magnoliopsida; Fabales; Fabaceae.
UUUUGAUAAGAGUUAGGAAAGAUAGAUAAUUGGGUUUUUUAAGUGAAUGAAAUGUGACAAAUUUAGGAUAUAAUAAUUAAUAAAUGGAUAGAGAUAAAAGAAAACUUAAAUCAGUCACACAUAGAACAAAAAAAAAAGAAAAGAGAUGGAGAUUUACCAGUCCAAAAAUGUUCAGAGUUUCUUCUUUAAGAACCAGAAUUAUAUAAAAACUCACCCGAAAAUCCAGCAGAUGCACCGAGAGAAGGAGAGGUAAAAGAAAUAACAAAAGGGAAUGGGGUAAGACUACAACACGAGAAUUAUCCAACCGCCAACAACUACCUAAGACUUCAACACACCAAACAACAACGAAGAGGAACUGAACAAAAGUAAAGACACAGAAACAAUGUAAGCACUUGCAGUGUAGAGAGCAAAAGAAGCUCAAAACACACACGAAGAGGUUGCUAAUGG